RNAcentral lists this ribosomal RNA (448 nucleotides) under uncultured bacterium. RNAcentral describes it as "bacterial SSU rRNA". It matches the Rfam family "Bacterial small subunit ribosomal RNA", at positions 29 to 477 of the family's 1533-position model. The record is from RNAcentral.
AGCGAACGUUUGCGGCGGGCCUAACACAUGCAAGUCGAACGGGCUAGCAAUAGUCAGUGGCGCACGGGUGCGUAACACGUAGGUAAUCAACCCCCUUGGUUCGGGAUAACGUUCUGAAAGGAGCGCUAAUACCGGACGCGUCUUCGAGAGCUUCGGCUCUUGUCGAGAAAGACCCGCAAGGGUUGCCGAGGGACGAGCCUGCGGCCCAUCAGCUAGUUGGCGAGGUAAUAGCUCACCAAGGCGAAGACGGGUAGCUGGUCUGAGAGGAUGAUCAGUCACACUGGAACUGAGACACGGUCCAGACUCCUACGGGAGGCAGCAGUGGGGAAUAUUGCGCAAUGGGCGAAAGCCUGACGCAGCCACGCCGCGUGAGCGAUGAAGGCCUUCGGGUCGUAAAGCUCUGUGGGGAGAGACGAAGAAAGUACCUGUGAAGGAGACGAGGACCGUU